UGGACUGUAUAGUCCACGGGGUCACUAAGAGUCGGACACAACUGAGCGACUUUCACUUUGAUGAGAAUCUGAAGGUCUUUAUGUGGACUUUCAACAAUGGAGCAGCAGCUAGCUAAGGUGAAAGACUACCUGAAAUCAUUCUUAAAUAUUAAUACAUGCUCAUCAUAUGAGAACAUCUGGCUCACCUGCCAUGUCUGGCUUCCUAGGGUUUGUACUGUGGUGUAGUAUCAUAGCCAUCAGGAAUGAGCCUCCUGUUCCCUUGGAAUACAUUUUCACAGCUUUAAAACUUUUUAGUCCUUUACAAAUUCAUGCAGAAUGAGGAAUCCAGUGAUCAUUUGUAGUUGGGAUCCUCGGUGGAGUGAGGGCUGCUUUUUUCCUCAAAGGAUGCUUAAAGGAUAGUUUAGGUCAUCAUGGUUGAAUUUUGUCAAAGUUUAAUUUUUAAAAAUGUUGGAAACAUGACUCAUACAAAUACAGAAUGAAUAUGUGUCAAAGAUUUAUUGUAAUAACUUAUUAAUAAGGGAACCAGUUAGUUAAAGCUGGUUAUAAGAGCAUGUUGAAGAAUUGGGUAUUCAUAGAGAUUUGUAAAAGCAAACUAAGAGUAAAAAAGGAAUGUUAGAAUUAAGACGUUAGAUUUGAUAUAAAAGAGGAGAGCAUUCAAACUGUACCCUUUGGGGUUAUGUUUUCUAUUGGAUAAUAUCAAGCCUAUAAUUUGAGAGUCUAAGCUCAUAAUUGAUAGUAAUAACAAUGCUUUAUUCCGUUAGGCUAGGUAAUGAAAUUACUCUUGGACGAGACCACCAGCCCUCUUAGUUCCCAGUAAUGCAUCAAAAAUGGAGUUCAUUCCUUCUUGUGCUGAAUCUACUUGUGUCUAAUCCAUGGACUGUUUUCUCAACCCAUCCUCUGAUUUAACCUUGUUCAUGGGAGAGCCCAGAGGACAUUCCAUUUAUCAAAGCAGUCAAGAAUGCACAGGUGAAAGAGUCCAAUGAGGCAAAUAUUUGAUCCAUUUUAUAGAGAAUCUGCAUGCAAGUCAAGGCUGAGAAGGACUGACACCUUUGCCAAAGAUCCACAGAAAGAGGCAGACCUGGCCUCAACUCCAGGGCCACCUACCACCCAAGUCCAUGUAUUAGCAUCAGACCACACUGCUUAUGAAAGAAGGAUGAGAGACACUUCCAACCUCACCAGUGGCUGAUAGAUCUCUGGAAGACAGAAACAGCAUGAACUUAGUCAGAGGAGGAACAGAAAUAAUGUGUGCUGAAACUUUUUAUGGAAUUUUCAUCAGAACUGAGAAGUUAGCACUGAACUGCUUAGAUCUGCUGCAUGAAGCUGGUGGAUUGAUCAACACAAAAGGUGCUGUGGUACAUCACCCAAAUUCCCCUUCUGGACUUACUAGGCUCUUCCCUCACUAGCAGCCCGUGGGUUCUAAUCACAGGACAUAGAGCUUCUGAAAUUCCAUACCAUGCUCCAUGCUUGACCUCAUCACAGCAGUGGUGCUCCUUCAAAAUUGUGGAGGAUCAUCCUUCUAUCCUUGAACACUGUAAACUCACUUGCUCCCUUUACUUCCUCAGAGAAUCACAGGUCAACUACUGCAAGAAUUUCCUUUAUCUUUACCCUGGCAUCUGCUUUCUUCCCUUUAGGAAGCUCUCCUGCUCUUAGACUGAAAACCUGGCUGCUCUGUGUCUAGACUAGAAGUUCCGGAGAUGAACAGUGCUGAUGGUUGCACAACAAUGUGAAGGCAACAGGUGUGGCCUGGGGACCAAGCCUUGAUCUCCCUGGCACACGGGUUACCUGACAACAGGACAGAGGGGUGACUGCCCUGCCUGAAGAGGCAGGAGGAGGCCAGGACAUCCCGCCACCCUGCACAUGACAGUUUUCUGCCGUCAGCUCUGACCCAUGUCCUUUCACAAGGAAAAGGUGAUAAUGGGGGAGGAAACCGAGGCAGAGAAGCUCUCAUGCCUCACAGAAGGUGACCCUCUUGGGUGAGAGAACUACACAGUAGGGAGGUUUGGUAGAGAAAGGGGCGACUCCGAGUCCAAAGCCUUGUCCGUCAGGCUCGCCCACAAGGUGGCCGUCAGCGUCUACAAGCCCUGCCUGGACAGAGGCCAGUCACAGGUCUGCAGGCCCUUUGGAAUCACGUGCCCAGCUUCUGUGUUACCACCCAGCACGAGCCAGUCGGCUACAGGAGGACCUGAGAGCUCAGAGGCAGACUGCUGGGGUCACCCGGGGCUGCCAUACCCAGAGGCCUCUGAUCCGGCUCCUCGCACACCAGCCAGAAGGCAGAGCACCUGGAGGCUGGCAACCAGACCAUGGGAAAGGAAAAUGGCAGCCUGAUGCCAGACUGGGUAAUCCGUGGAGUGUUAUCUCAACAUCUGGACGAUUCCCUCCCAGCUGGUGACUUUUCCCCAACUGGGUGAGUUUAGAGUUUGAAGGGGUUUCAGCACUUCUCUGUCCCUUGCCUCUUACUUGCAGGGGAGACUGAGAACAGAGUGAGUAUGGGCACCACUAGGACCAAGCCCGACUCCAGGAGCUCCAGCAUACUUCAGUUCACCAGGGUCACCGCCCUGUGCGUGCAGCCUGUGCCUCCAGGACGCUGUCACCCUCAUCCUCUCCAGCCACUGUACAAAGCAUCAGCAUUCCCCACUGACAGGCGUGCCACCUCCAUCCAUUGCUGCUAUAAACAAUGCUGCAGAACACCUUUGCUCUUGCAUCUUUGUGUAGGAAAACAGUGACCUAUAUGCCUACGUUUCUGCCCCUGCUCACACCACUCCCACCAAAUGAGCACACUCCUGCCUCUGUGCUGCCUGUCCCCUCUGCCUGGGACACUCUUCUCCCAGGUAUUUGCAUAGCUCACCUGGCUCAAGUCUCUGUUCAAACACUGCUAAAUUAGGUGCCCCUCAAUCACCCCAUGUAAAACUGCAAUCCCCUCCCACUCUCAAACCACUCUUUUAAAAAUCUUGCUCUAGUUGUUUUUUCAUAGAACAUACCCUAGAACAGUGCUAACAGAACUUGCUGUAAUGAUGGAAAGGUUCUGUUUGUGCCACAAGCCACACAAAGCUAUGGAACACUUACAAUGUGACUAGUGGGACAGAGGAAGUGAAAUUUUUUUUUAAUUUUUAAUUUUAUUAGAGCACUUCCUUGGAGGUCCCGUGGUUAAGACCCUGCACUUCCACUGCUGAGGGUAUGGGUUUGAUCCCUGGUUGGGGAACGAGUAUCGCUGUGGCAUGAAGUGUGACCAGAAAGAAAGUUUUGUGUUUUUUCCACUGAUUUCAGAAGCCAUGUGUGAGUAGUGGCUACAGUACUGGACGGUGAGGCUCCGGAACCUGUUUUAGCUUCAUUUAUACAGCAUGCGAUGUGUUGAUAUGCAUGUACCCGGUGAAAUGACUACUGUAGUCAAGCUAGUUAACAUAUCCACUAGUUACCAUUUUUUGUGUAUGUGGUAUAGCUUCUGAGAUCUACUUCCCUUGCAAAUUUUCAGUAUACAGCACACUACUAACUAUAUUCACCAUGCUAUAUGUUACUUCCCCGGAACUCUUAGAACUAAAAAUAUGUACUCUUUGACCCACAUCUCCCAUAUCUCAGCCUGCCUCCUCCCACUCCUGGUAGCCAACUGCUCUGCUUUCUGCUUCUGUGAAUUUGACUUUGUUAGGUUCCACAUAUAAGUGAAAUCAUACAGUGUUUUUUUUGUGUGUAUGUGGCUUAUUUCAUUUAGCACAAUGACCUCAAGGUUCAUCCAUGUUGUCACAAAUGGAAGAAUCUAGAACUGACUGAUUUAUGUUUAUUACAUCUGUCUCUCCCAUCUCCAGUGAACUGUCAGCUCUUCAAGACAGAUUUGUGUUUCUGUUGAUCCACUGACGUGUCCCAAGUGCUUCAAAAAGUGCCCGGCACAUAGAGAAAGCGGCCAUCUACAGGUCAGGAAGACAGUUUUCACCAGGAACCAUUCCUGCUGGACCUUGAUCUGGGACUUCCAGCCUCGAGGGUGUGUCUGAGGUCACUGUGAAAGGCUGCAGGUGGCUUCCUUCAGGACUCGGCCCUCAGACUACAAACCAAAGGCCUAUUUGCAGUCACUUCCUGCUCCCCUCCCCCAGGCAGCUACUAGUCUGCUUUUUGUCUCUACAGAUGUGGCUAUCAGGACAUUUCAAAUGAAUGGAGUCAUACAUUAGGUGACCUUUUAAAAUUUCUUUUACUUAGCAUUUUUCCGGAGAGGGAGGAGGAAUUACAUCCAUGUUGUAGCAUGUAUCAAUGUUCCAUUUCUUUUUUAUCACUAGUUUUCUAUUGUUUGGAUGUACCAUAUUUUGCUUAUCCAUUCUCCAGUUGAUGAAUAUUUUGGUUAUUUCUGGUCUUUGGCUAUUAUGAAUACUCUUAUUAUGAAUAUCUGUGUACAAGUCUUUGUGUGCACAUAGAUUUUCAUUUCUCUUGGGUAGAUUUCUAGGAGCAGAAUUGCUAGGUCCUAUGAAGAAAUUAAUGUUUAACUUUUUAGGAAACUGCCAAAAUGGCUAUAGCACUUUAUAGUUCACCAGCAAUGCAUAAGAAUUUUAAUCUACUUGAUUUUAAAAAGAAUAACACAUCCCAGACAAUUUUUUUAAUUGAUUUGUAAGAGCCUUUAUAUUUCAAGGACACUAAUUUUUAUUUUUUUCUAUAUCACAGAUGCCCAUGGUUAACUUUUUAAAGGACAGUUUCAACUAAAUAAAGAAAAACUUCAAGAGAAAAAAGACUAGAAGCCAAAUUUAUUAAGCCAAAAUAUACAUUAUUGGGACUUCCCUCGUGAUCCAGUGGUUAGGACUCUGCACUUCCAAUACAGGGGCCCAGGGUUUGAUCCCUAG
Odocoileus virginianus texanus is the source of this 4814-nucleotide non-coding RNA. Lineage: Eukaryota; Metazoa; Chordata; Mammalia; Artiodactyla; Cervidae. The record is from RefSeq and is a predicted model, not a curated record.